Molecule: ribosomal RNA, 506 nt
Filed under: uncultured bacterium
Lineage: Bacteria
Description: bacterial SSU rRNA
Rfam family: Bacterial small subunit ribosomal RNA
Source: RNAcentral
UAAUGCGUAGGAAGCUACCCGAUAGAGGGGGAUACCAGUUGGAAACGACUGUUAAUACCGCAUAAUGUCUACGGACCAAAGUGUGGGACCUUCGGGCCACAUGCUAUCGGAUGCGCCUACGUGGGAUUAGCUAGUUGGUGAGGUAAUGGCUCACCAAGGCGACGAUCCCUAGCUGGUUUGAGAGGAUGAUCAGCCACACUGGAACUGAGACACGGUCCAGACUCCUACGGGAGGCAGCAGUGGGGAAUAUUGGACAAUGGGCGCAAGCCUGAUCCAGCCAUGCCGCGUGUGUGAAGAAGGCCUUCGGGUUGUAAAGCACUUUCAGUAGGGAGGAAGCGUUGUGUGUUAAUAGUACACAGCGUUGACGUUACCUACAGAAGAAGCACCGGCUAACUCUGUGCCAGCAGCCGCGGUAAUACAGAGGGUGCAAGCGUUAAUCGGAAUUACUGGGCGUAAAGCGCACGUAGGCGGUUUUUUAAGUCAGAUGUGAAAGCCCCGGGCUCAAC